This 28-nucleotide non-coding RNA is filed under the name Homo sapiens (human). Lineage: Eukaryota; Metazoa; Chordata; Mammalia; Primates; Hominidae. The record is from RNAcentral.
UCACCAGCGUUUAGCCUGAGCCCUGAUC